CUCACCCAGGGCUCCCACAGCUCAGGGGGCAGGCCUGAGCCCUGCGCCCGCCCUGAAUCCAUCCGGCCCCCGACGGGGCACCCCAUCCCAAGGGGCUCCGCACUGGCCCCCACGGAGGUAGGGGACCCGACCGACUGGCACCUCGGCUGGAUGUUACAGGCGUAAAAA
Erinaceus europaeus (western European hedgehog) is the source of this 168-nucleotide non-coding RNA. The record is from Rfam. Lineage: Eukaryota; Metazoa; Chordata; Mammalia; Eulipotyphla; Erinaceidae.